RNAcentral lists this ribosomal RNA (208 nucleotides) under uncultured bacterium. Its description in RNAcentral is "partial 16S ribosomal RNA". It matches the Rfam family "Bacterial small subunit ribosomal RNA", at positions 568 to 774 of the family's 1533-position model. The record is from RNAcentral.
CGCGCAGGCGGUCGUUCAAGUCGCGUGUGAAAGCCCCCGGCUCAACUGGGGAGGGUCACGCGAUACUGGUCGACUCGAAGGCAGGAGAGGGUAGUGGAAUUCCCGGUGUAGUGGUGAAAUGCGUAGAUAUCGGGAGGAACACCAGUGGCGAAGGCGACUACCUGGCCUGUUUCUUGACGCUGAGGCGCGAAAGCUAGGGGAGCAAACG